This 605-nucleotide ribosomal RNA is filed under the name Lactobacillus delbrueckii. RNAcentral describes it as "bacterial SSU rRNA". It matches the Rfam family "Bacterial small subunit ribosomal RNA", at positions 8 to 582 of the family's 1533-position model. Lineage: Bacteria; Bacillati; Bacillota; Bacilli; Lactobacillales; Lactobacillaceae. The record is from RNAcentral.
AGAGUUUGAUCCUGGCUCAGGACGAACGCUGGCGGCGUGCCUAAUACAUGCAAGUCGAGCGAGCUGAAUUCAAAGAUCCCUUCGGGGUGAUUUGUUGGACGCUAGCGGCGGAUGGGUGAGUAACACGUGGGCAAUCUGCCCUAAAGACUGGGAUACCACUUGGAAACAGGUGCUAAUACCGGAUAACAACAUGAAUCGCAUGAUUCAAGUUUGAAAGGCGGCGCAAGCUGUCACUUUAGGAUGAGCCCGCGGCGCAUUAGCUAGUUGGUGGGGUAAAGGCCUACCAAGGCAAUGAUGCGUAGCCGAGUUGAGAGACUGAUCGGCCACAUUGGGACUGAGACACGGCCCAAACUCCUACGGGAGGCAGCAGUAGGGAAUCUUCCACAAUGGACGCAAGUCUGAUGGAGCAACGCCGCGUGAGUGAAGAAGGUUUUCGGAUCGUAAAGGUCUGUUGUUGGUGAAGAAGGAUAGAGGCAGUAACUGGUCUUUAUUUGACGGUAAUCAACCAGAAAGUCACGGCUAACUACGUGCCAGCAGCCGCGGUAAUACGUAGGUGGCAAGCGUUGUCCGGAUUUAUUGGGCGUAAAGCGAGCGCAGGCGGAAUG